Macaca mulatta (Rhesus monkey) is the source of this 4619-nucleotide non-coding RNA. Lineage: Eukaryota; Metazoa; Chordata; Mammalia; Primates; Cercopithecidae. The record is from RefSeq and is a predicted model, not a curated record.
GGUAACGGCGGGUCCCGCGUCCUCCUCCAUGUCCCCGCCUACCCCCGCCGCAGCCCGCCCCGUCUCCUCCUCCCUCCGCAGCCUCGCCGAGUCCUCGGUGCGGGCUGCGAGUGGGACUCGGGGAGCCACUCUGUCCUCGACGCCUCCGCCGGGCGCGGGCUGAGGAACCAGCGAGAGCAGACCCGGCCCCUGGCCGCCGCCACCCAACCCCGGGCAUCUGCCCCGCGCCGUUGUCCCCGUGGCAUCGGGCCGGCGGGACCGCCCCGUCCCUUCCAGGGGUGACCCGGGGGUCGCGGGCGGGACGGCGCCUGCGACCGAGUCUGGGGGGCGCCGGGUGUCGGGUCGGGAAGUGGACGCCGCGACUCUUGCCUCGCGGGCGUCGUUGCUCCGCGGGCCUGCCUCUGCGCGCGGGGACAGGUGCCCCGGCCGGGGUCUGUCGGGAAGAUGGCGACCCCGGGCAUGAGCUGGCAGCAGCACUAUUACGGCGGCUCGGCGGCCGGGGCGGCCAAAUUCGCGCCCUCGCCGGCCGCCGCGCAGCUGGCUGGGCACAGCAUGGACUACAGCCAGGAGAUGCACCUGAAAAUGAGCAAGAAAAUCGCCCAGCUCACCAAGGUAAUAUAUGCUUUAAACACUAAAAAUGAUGAGCAUGAAUCUGCAAUUCAAGCCCUCAAAGAUGCUCAUGAAGAAGAAAUUCAACAAAUUCUUGCAGAAACAAGAGAAAAAAUAUUGCAGUAUAAAAGCAAAGUAACAGAGGAGCUAGACCUUAGAAGAAAGAUUCAAGUUUUAGAAGCAUCAUUAGAAGAUCACAUAAAAAUGAAGCAGCAGGCUUUGACAGAAUUUGAAGCUUAUAAGCACAGAGUUGAGGACAUGCAACUUUGUGCAGAAGCCCAGCAUGUGCAACGCAUAGUGACCAUGUCUAGAGAAGUCGAAGAGAUUAGAAGGAAAUUUGAAGAAAAAUUACGGAGCUUUGGACAGCUUCAGGUACAGUUUGAAAAAGACAAACGAUUGGCAUUGGAAGACCUGCGGACUGCUCACAGACGGGAGAUACAAGAGCUAUUGAAGUCACAGCAGGAUCACAGUGCCUCAGUAAAUAAAGGGCAGGAGAAGGCAGAGGAACUACACAGAAUGGAGGUGGAGUCCUUAAACAAAAUGCUUGAGGAGCUAAGACUUGAACAGAAGAAACUAAUUGAGGAUUAUGAAGGCAAGUUGAAUAAAGCUCAGUCCUUUUAUGAGCGUGAGCUUGACACUUUGAAAAGGUCACAGCUUUUUACAGCAGAAAGCCUCCAGGCCAGCAAAGAAAAGGAAGCUGAUCUUAGAAAAGAAUUUCAGGGACAAGAAGCAAUUUUACGAAAAACCAUAGGAAAAUUAAAGACAGAGUUACAGAUGGUACAGGAUGAAGCUGGAAGUCUUCUUGACAAAUGCCAAAAGCUUCAGACGGCACUUGCCACAGCAGAGAACAAUGUUCAGGGUCUUCAAAAACAGCUUGAUGAUGCCAAGGAGGGAGAAAUGGCCCUAUUAAGCAAGCACAAAGAAGUGGAAAGUGAGCUAGCAGCUGCCAGAGAACGUUUACAACAGCAAGCUUCAGAUCUUGUCCUCAAAGCUAGUCAUAUUGGAAUGCUUCAAGCAACUCAAAUGACCCAAGAAGUUACGAUUAAAGAUUUAGAAUCAGAAAAAUCGAGAGCCAAUGAGAGAUUAUCUCAACUUGAAGAGGAAAGAGCUUUUUUGCAAAGCAAAACCCAAAGUCUGGAUGAAGAGCAGAAGCAACAGAUUCUAGAACUGGAGAAGAAAGUAAGUGAAGCAAAGAGAACUCAGCAAGAAUAUUAUGAAAGGGAACUUAAAAACCUGCAAAAUAGAUUGGAAGAGGAGGUGACUCAAUUAAACGAGGCCCAUUCUAAGACUUUGGAAGAAUUAGCUUGGAAGCACCAUAUGGCAAUUGAAGCUGUCCACAGUAAUGCAAUUAGGGAUAAGAAAAAACUGCAAAUGGAAUUGGAAGAACAACAUAACAAAGAGAAACUAAACCUAGAAGAGGAUAAAAAUCAGCUUCAACAAGAGCUAGAAAACCUAAAGGAAGUACUGGAAGACAAGCUGAAUACAGCCAAUCAAGAGAUUGGCCGCCUCCAAGAUCUGGUAAGGAAAAGUGAACAAGGUCUUGGCUCUGCAGAAGGACUUAUUGCUAGUCUUCAGGACUCCCAGGAAAGGCUUCAGACUGAGCUUGAUUUGACUAAAGACAGCCUAAAGGAGACCAAGGAUGCUCUAUUAAAUGUGGAGGGUGAGCUAGAACAAGAAAGGCAACAGCAUGAAGAAACAAUUGCUGCCAUGAAAGAAGACGAGAAGCUCAAAGUGGACAAAAUGGCCCAUGACUUAGAAAUCAAGUGGACUGAAAAUCUUAGGCAAGAGUGUUCUAAACUUCGUGAAGAGUUAAGGCUUCAACAUGAAGAGGAUAAGAAGUCAGCAAUGUCUCAACUUUUGCAGUUGAAAGAGCGAGAGAAAAACGCAGCAAGAGAUUCAUGGCAGAAGAAAGUAGAAGAUCUCUUAAACCAGAUUUCCUUGCUGAAACAGAAUCUGGAGAUACAGCUUUCCCAGUCUCAGACUUCUUUGCAACAACUGCAAGCCCAGUUUACGCAAGAACGACAGCGGCUUACGCAAGAGCUUGAAGAAUUAGAGGAGCAACAUCAGCAAAGACACAAAUCAUUAAAAGAAGCACAUGUCCUUGCAUUUCAAACUAUGGAAGAGGAAAAGGAAAAGGAGCAGAGAGCUCUUGAAAAUCAUUUACAACAGAAGCAUUCUGCAGAGCUUCAAUCAUUGAAAGAUGCACACAGAGAGUCAAUGGAGGGCUUCCGAAUAGAAAUGGAACAGGAACUUCAGACUCUUCGGUUUGAAUUAGAAGAUGAAGGAAAGGCUAUGCUUGCUUCCUUGCGCUCAGAACUCAACCAUCAACAUGCAGCUGCAAUUGAUUUGUUACGGCAUAAUCAUCAUCAAGAAUUGGCAGCUGCUAAAAUGGAAUUAGAGAGAAGCAUAGACAUCAGCAGAAGACAGAGUAAGGAGCACAUGUGUAGAAUUACAGAUCUACAAGAGGAAUUAAGACACAGAGAGCAUCACAUCUCUGAAUUGGAUAAGGAGGUUCAGCACCUUCAUGAGAAUAUAAGUGCCCUAACCAAAGAACUGGAAUUUAAGGGGAAAGAAAUUCUCAGAAUACGAAGUGAAUCUAACCAACAGAUAAGGUUGCAUGAACAAGAUUUAAACAAGAGGCUUGAAAAAGAGUUGGAUGUCAUGACAGCAGACCACCUCAGAGAGAAAAAUAUCAUGCGGGCAGAUUUUAAUAAGACUAACGAGCUACUCAAGGAAAUAAAUGCAGCCUUACAAGUGUCAUUAGAAGAAAUGGAAGAAAAAUAUCUAAUGAGAGAAUCAAAACCAGAAGAUAUACAGAUGAUUACAGAAUUAAAAGCUAUGCUUACUGAAAGAGACCAGAUCAUAAAGAAACUAAUUGAGGAUAAUAAGUUUUAUCAGCUGGAAUUAGUCAAUCGAGAAACUAACUUCAACAAAGUGUUUAACUCAAGUCCUACUGUUGGUGUUAUUAAUCCAUUGGCUAAGGCAAGAACUGCCUCCCUUUGACAGAUGGCUAAAUUUCAUGGACCUCUCUUUUAAAAUUAUGCUUAACUUUUACCCCUUCUCCUAAUUUUAGCCUAAAUCCAUUUAACCUUCUAUCUGCAAGACUUGCUUUCUCCCCCAGCCCUUUUCCCCUUUUCUUCCCAAAAGGGUAUUCUUUACCCCUUGGCACUCUUUUUACCUUCUCUCCCAUUCCUCGUGAAUGACUCCUGAAUGUUUCUUCCUCAGUCUUUCUGUCCUGGUAGCAUGUCUGUCUCUGAGGAUUCCAUGUAGAUAAAAAAUUACCUCCAAGGAUUCCCAGACCACAGUUUGGGUAACACUGGUUAAUUAACAUCUUAAUUUAACAUAAAGCUUCCAAAAUUUUCCUAUGCCAAAUUUCUAUCUUCUACCAUUCCUAUUUUCUCAUUUGUCCUCAUGCAGGGACUAUCCUCACAUGUAUUAUUUUUAAUGCAGCAAAAGAAGAAGAAUGAUAAAUCACCAACAAACAGGUUUGUGAGUGUUCCCAAUCUAAGUGCUCUGGAAUCUGGUGGAGUGGGCAAUGGACAUCCUAACCGCCUGGAUCCCAUUCCUAAUUCUCCAGUCCACGAUAUUGAGUUCAGCAGCAGCAAACCACUUCCACAGCCAGUGCCACCUAAAGGGCCCAAGACAUUUUUGAGUCCUGCUCAGAGUGAAGCUUCUCCAGUGGCUUCUCCAGAUCCCCAGCGCCAGGAGUGGUUUGCCCGGUACUUCACAUUCUGAAAGAAUUGUGUUGACACAGCUCUGUAUGGACUGUUACUGAGAGCAUGACUUUAUACAGAUUGAUAUGUAAAUAGGCUUUCCUAUGUCAAACACUGUGAAUGAGAAAGUCUUUGUCUCUCCAAUUUGAAAAUGCACUGUAUUUCCUGUGAUAUUUAUUGGAAUCAUUCUAUAAGGUACUAUAUGAUGUGUGUAAUUAUAACUGUUAUUUUUAUUUGAGAUGGAAGAGGCUUUAACCUUUGUAAUUACUGCAUAAUAAAUUUUGUUAGAACAAAAAA